RNAcentral lists this ribosomal RNA (135 nucleotides) under Serratia marcescens. RNAcentral's name for it is "partial 16S ribosomal RNA". It matches the Rfam family "Bacterial small subunit ribosomal RNA", at positions 1407 to 1533 of the family's 1533-position model. Lineage: Bacteria; Pseudomonadati; Pseudomonadota; Gammaproteobacteria; Enterobacterales; Yersiniaceae. The record is from RNAcentral.
GGAGUGGGUUGCAAAAGAAGUAGGUAGCUUAACCUUCGGGAGGGCGCUUACCACUUUGUGAUUCAUGACUGGGGUGAAGUCGUAACAAGGUAACCGUAGGGGAACCUGCGGUUGGAUCACCUCCUUACCUAAAGA